CCUACGGGUGGCAGCAGUGAGGAAUAUUGGUCAAUGGGCGGAAGCCUGAACCAGCCAAGUCGCGUGAGGGAUUAAGGCCCUGCGGGUCGUAAACCUCUUUUGCCGGGGAGCAGUGGUCCGGACGCGUCCGGACCGGGGGAGUACCCGGAGAAAAAGCAUCGGCUAACUCCGUGCCAGCAGCCGCGGUAAUACGGAGGAUGCGAGCGUUAUCCGGAUUGAUUUGGUGUAAAGGGAGCGUAGAUGGGUUGUUAAGUCAGUGGUGAAAGUUUGCGGCUCAACCGUAAAAUUGCAAUUGAUACUGGCAGUCUUGAGUACAGUUGAGGUAGGCGGAAUUCGUGGUGUAGCUGUGAAAUGCUUAGAUAUCACGAAGAACUCCGAUUGCGAUGGCAGCUUACUAAACUGCCACUGACAUUGAUGCUCGAAAGUGUGGGUAUCAAACAGGAUUAGAUACCCUUGUAGGC
RNAcentral lists this ribosomal RNA (461 nucleotides) under uncultured bacterium. RNAcentral's name for it is "partial 16S ribosomal RNA". It matches the Rfam family "Bacterial small subunit ribosomal RNA", at positions 338 to 795 of the family's 1533-position model. The record is from RNAcentral.